UCGGACCUGGGGGGGGGGGGGGAGGUAGGCGGGCAGAUAAAGUGUGGAGGAAAGGAUGACUUAGGGGAGAGGGGGAAGCCCUGGGAGAACAAAGCUCCGGGCCGUCGGCCUCCCAAGAGUCGCAGAAGUGACCGCCACGGGCUCGUGCACAGGCGGAAGCGGGGGGAGGGAGAGAGGCCGGGCCUAAAGCGCCCUCGCAGGUUUGGAAAACGCUGAGAGGGCACAGGGGGUGGGGAAAGUCGGAACCCGUAGCUAAAGGUUUGGCCCUCAGGCUAGUUUUUAAGGAAAUGGAUCUCAGGAAGGGGAGGAGGCACCACGCGCCCCGGAGAGGUAGGAGGGAGAAGCCCUGUCCCCCUCACCCCCCCCCCAACCCCCAGCUAGCAGAGCGUGUGCGGUGACCGACCUCCGCGCUCUGGACCAGGAGGGGGACGGAGCCGUCUGGCCGCCGCGGGCCUGUGCUUCCGCACCCCCCAGCUCUGCGCGUCGCCUGUCCCCGAGCGCCUCGCCUCCCAACUGUAAUCCCACACUCCCGCGAGCGCUGGGGCUGCGGAAUCGUUUGAGUUGGAACUGCAUCAGAUGAGAACGCCGGGAGACGCGAAAAUUGGACACGUGGAGACUGGGUGCAGACUCAAACAAUGGUUUCCAGCAGCGGAGCGAAAGGAGGCACCUUCCCAGCCUCCGCGCAUGGUCAAGCCAUCUCCUCCAGCAUGGCCGUGGUGCACUUCUGGCCGCAGAGCUCCUACGCUGCAGCCUGGGAGUCAGAAGCAAGCAAACCGGCCAGGACUGAGAAUUCAGAGGCCACGGGUGGCAGGUCAGCGGCGGCGCCCCAAAGAGAGACCCCAAGAGAGGCCUUUCUUCCACCGCAACCCCAGGGAGGCUACUGAGUUCUGCAAAGCCGCAGGAAGACUACAACAUCCCGAUGUGGAGAAAAAUGAGAGGAAACGCCAUUAA
Molecule: long non-coding RNA, 951 nt
Filed under: Felis catus (domestic cat)
Lineage: Eukaryota; Metazoa; Chordata; Mammalia; Carnivora; Felidae
Description: lncRNA (ENSFCAG00000046493.2)
Source: RNAcentral